UACAGAGGUGGCAAGCGUUGUUCGGAAUUACUGGGCGUAAAGGGCGCGUAGGCGGCCUUCUAAGUCAUACGUGAAAUCCCUCAGCUUAACUGGGGAACUGCGUGUGAUACUGGAUGGCUUGGAUUUGGGAGAGGGAUGCGGAAUUCCAGGUGUAGCGGUGAAAUGCGUAGAUAUCUGGAGGAACACCGGUGGCGAAGGCGGCAUCCUGGACCAAUAUUGACGCUGAGGAGCGAAAGCCAGGGGAGCAAACGGG
This 253-nucleotide ribosomal RNA is filed under the name uncultured bacterium. Its description in RNAcentral is "partial 16S ribosomal RNA". It matches the Rfam family "Bacterial small subunit ribosomal RNA", at positions 524 to 776 of the family's 1533-position model. The record is from RNAcentral.